Molecule: ribosomal RNA, 316 nt
Filed under: uncultured bacterium
Lineage: Bacteria
Description: bacterial SSU rRNA
Rfam family: Bacterial small subunit ribosomal RNA
Source: RNAcentral
UCCCUUUAUGACCUUGGGCUACACACGUGCUACAAUGGCAGAUACAGAGGGCAGCGAAAGAGUGAUCUGAAGCGAAACUCACAAAAUCUGUCCCAGUUCGGAUUGUACUCUGUAACUCGAGUACAUGAAGUUGGAGUUGCUAGUAAUCGCGAAUCAGGAUGUCGCGGUGAAUGCGUUCCCGGGUCUUGUACACACCGCCCGUCACACCAUGGAAGUUGGCAAUACCCGAAGCCUGUGAGCGAACCUUUUAGGACGCAGCAGUCGAAGGUAGGGUCAGUAACUGGGGUGAAGUCGUAACAAGGUAGCCGUAUCGGAA